UACGGAGGGGGCAAGCGUUGUCCGGACUUACUGGGCGUAAAGGGUGCGUAGGCGGCCUGCUGCGUCGGUGCUGAAAGCGCCCGGCUUAACCGGGCGAGGCGUGCCGAUACGAGCGGGCUGGAGCCUUGGCGAGGGUGGCGGAACUUCCGGUGGAGCGGUGAAAUGUGUUGAUAUCGGAAGGAACGCCGGUGGCGAAAGCGGCACACUGGAUCUCAACUGACGCUGAGGCACGAAAGCCAGGGGAGCGAACGGG
Molecule: ribosomal RNA, 253 nt
Filed under: uncultured bacterium
Lineage: Bacteria
Description: partial 16S ribosomal RNA
Rfam family: Bacterial small subunit ribosomal RNA
Source: RNAcentral